This is a non-coding RNA of Oreochromis niloticus (Nile tilapia), 114 nucleotides long. Lineage: Eukaryota; Metazoa; Chordata; Actinopteri; Cichliformes; Cichlidae. The record is from Rfam.
GUGGGUUACGGAGAUAUUUACCCAAAAACUCUGCUGGGAAAGAUAGUCGGCGGGUUGUGCUGCAUUGCGGGAGUUCUGGUGAUCGCCCUGCCAAUCCCCAUCAUUGUAAAUAAC